ACUAUGAGUCAGAAAUCCUCAAGUUAAAUCUGCCAGAGUUCUUUGGUUAUUAAAUUUCAUGUUUUGGAGAAUAAGAUAUGUGUCACCUAUUCAUGGUAAUGAGGAGAGAAGAAGAAGGAAUUUCCACAGAGACUUCAUGUGUGCUCAAACAGCAGACUCUAUCUUGGUGCCAGAUGGUGCUUUCAUUUGAAAUCAGCUGUGUUCCUCUUCAUGCUGCUUUGACUGAAUUGAUGUGGAACAGAGAGGUUAAAGAGGAUGUUAUGAAGAGGCUGUUCAUUGUUUCUCAAGCUCAAUUAGUAUAUGGAUGCUCUCUUGGGAGGGAAAGUUUUCUUAAUUUCCAAAAUUGGCUUAAAUUGUUUUUAUUAAAACUUUACUUAAAUACAUAUAAACCUAAAAGAUUCAAUAAACUUCUUAUGUUUGCAUUUAUUAAAAAGGCAUAAAAUCAAAACAAAUUACAAAUUAAAUUUUAAAAAGCACAAGACCAUUAAAAAUCAAAUUGAC
This 501-nucleotide long non-coding RNA is filed under the name Vulpes vulpes (red fox). RNAcentral describes it as "lncRNA (ENSVVUG00000004808.1)". The record is from RNAcentral. Lineage: Eukaryota; Metazoa; Chordata; Mammalia; Carnivora; Canidae.